CCUUGUAUUUAAUGCUGUUGGUGGAGGCACUGGUUCUGGUCUGGGUUCCCUUCUUUUGGAGCGUCUGUCUGUGGACUAUGGCAAGAAAUCAAAACUUGGAUUCACUGUUUAUCCCUCACCACAGAUCUCAACCUCUGUUGUGGAGCCUUACAACAGUGUGCUCUCGACCCAUUCACUCUUGGAGCACACUGAUGUUUCUGUGCUGUUGGAUAAUGAGGCCAUAUAUGAUAUUUGCAAGCGGUCCCUUGACAUUGAACGCCCCACUUAUACCAACCUCAAUCGUUUGGUUUCUCAGGUACUGAUGAGCGCUUAUUUAGCAAAUCAUUUGUUAACCCAGUGAGAUUAUAUUCCUGACUAUAUAUUUACAUGUUCCAGGUCAUUUCCUCCUUGACCGCUUCUUUAAGGUUUGAUGGAGCCUUGAAUGUUGAUGUGACUGAGUUCCAGACCAAUCUGGUGCCAUACCCAAGGAUCCACUUCAUGCUUUCUUCUUAUGCCCCUGUUAUCUCCGCUGAGAAGGCCUAUCAUGAACAGCUAUCAGUUGCAGAGAUCACUAACAGUGCAUUUGAGCCCUCUUCUAUGAUGGCGAAGUGUGAUCCUCGCCAUGGGAAAUACAUGGCUUGCUGUCUGAUGUACCGAGGUGAUGUGGUGCCUAAGGAUGUGAAUGCCGCUGUUGGUACCAUCAAGACCAAGCGCACCAUUCAGUUUGUUGACUGGUGCCCAACUGGUUUCAAGUGUGGUAUCAACUAUCAGGCCCCAACUGUUGUCCCAGGUGGUGAUCUUGCCAAAGUACAGAGAGCUGUGUGCAUGAUCUCAAAUUCGACCAGUGUUGCAGAGGUUUUCUCACGUAUAGACACCAAAUUUGACCUCAUGUACUCAAAGAGGGCUUUCGUUCACUGGUAUGUUGGUGAGGGAAUGGAAGAAGGUGAGUUCUCUGAAGCCCGUGAGGAUCUUGCUGCCCUUGAGAAGGACUAUGAGGAGGUUGGUGCAGAGUCUGCUGAGGGGGAUGAUGAAGAUGAAGGAGAAGAUUACUAGAAGAUAAGGAGUUGCGUGGACAGUUGAUUUCUAUUUUGCUUUUGCAUUACGCAUGGCCUUGUUUUAUUUGCAACAACUCUUUAUGCUGUUCUCUAUGUUUGCUGUUU
RNAcentral lists this long non-coding RNA (1139 nucleotides) under Daucus carota (carrot). RNAcentral's name for it is "long non-coding RNA (DCAR_LNC002183)". The record is from RNAcentral. Lineage: Eukaryota; Viridiplantae; Streptophyta; Magnoliopsida; Apiales; Apiaceae.